UACGUAGGGGGCAAACGUUGUCCGGAAUCAUUGGGCGUAAAGCGCGUGUAGGCGGCCCGGUAAGUCCGCUGUGAAAGUCGGGGGCUCAACCCUCGAAUGCCGGUGGAUACUGUCGGGCUAGAGUGCGGAAGAGGCGAGUGGAAUUCCUGGUGUAGCGGUGAAAUGCGUAGAUAUCUGGAGGAACACCGGUGGCGAAGGCGGCGUCCUGGACCAACACUGACACUGAGGAGCGAAAGCCAGGGGAGCAAACGGG
RNAcentral lists this ribosomal RNA (253 nucleotides) under uncultured bacterium. RNAcentral describes it as "partial 16S ribosomal RNA". It matches the Rfam family "Bacterial small subunit ribosomal RNA", at positions 524 to 776 of the family's 1533-position model. The record is from RNAcentral.